AGAUUGAACGCUAGCGGGAUGCUUUGCACAUGCAAGUCGAACGGCAGCGCGGACUUCGGUCUGGCGGCGAGUGGCGAACGGGUGAGUAAUAUAUCGGAACGUGCCCAGUAGCGGGGGAUAACUACGCGAAAGCGUGGCUAAUACCGCAUACGCCCUACGGGGGAAAGGGGGGAUCGCAAGACCUCUCACUAUUGGAGCGGCCGAUAUCAGAUUAGCUAGUUGGUGAGGUAAAGGCUCACCAAGGCGACGAUCUGUAGCUGGUUUGAGAGGACGACCAGCCACACUGGGACUGAGACACGGCCCAGACUCCUACGGGAGGCAGCAGUGGGAAUUUUGGACAAGUGGGGGAAACCCUGGAUCCAGCCAUCCGCGUGUGCGAUGGAAGGCCUUCGGGUUGUCAAAGCAACUUUUUGGCGAGGAACGUAAACGGCGUGACCCGUUAAGUACGGACGUACG
RNAcentral lists this ribosomal RNA (456 nucleotides) under uncultured soil bacterium. RNAcentral's name for it is "bacterial SSU rRNA". It matches the Rfam family "Bacterial small subunit ribosomal RNA", at positions 26 to 479 of the family's 1533-position model. The record is from RNAcentral.